Molecule: ribosomal RNA, 253 nt
Filed under: uncultured bacterium
Lineage: Bacteria
Description: partial 16S ribosomal RNA
Rfam family: Bacterial small subunit ribosomal RNA
Source: RNAcentral
UACGUAGGGACCGAGCGUUGUCCGGAAUCAUUGGGCGUAAAGCGCGUGUAGGCGGUCCGGUAAGUCCGCUGUGAAAGUCGGGGGCUCAACCCUCGGAUGCCGGUGGAUACUGUCGGGCUUGAGUACGGAAGAGGCGAGUGGAAUUCCUGGUGUAGCGGUGAAAUGCGCAGAUAUCAGGAGGAACACCAAUUGCGAAGGCAGCUCGCUGGGACGUUACUGACGCUGAGAGACGAAAGCUAGGGGAGCGAAUGGG